This 478-nucleotide ribosomal RNA is filed under the name uncultured bacterium. Its description in RNAcentral is "partial 16S ribosomal RNA". It matches the Rfam family "Bacterial small subunit ribosomal RNA", at positions 28 to 507 of the family's 1533-position model. The record is from RNAcentral.
GAUGAACGCUGGCGGCGUACUUAACACAUGCAAGUCGAACGAGAAGUGGAGACGGAAACCUUCGGGCGGAAGACUUUACUUCGAGUGGCGGACGGGUGAGUAACGCGUGGGUAACCUGCCUCAUACAGGUGGAUAACAGUUGGAAACGACUGUUAAUACCGCAGAAGACCACAGCAACGCAUGGUGCGGGGGUAAAAACUCCGGUGGCAUGAGAUGGACCCGCGUUCGAUUAGCCAGUUGGCGUGGUAACGGCCCACCAAAGCGACGAUCGAUAGCCGGACUGAGAGGAUGACCGGCGACAUUGGGACUGAGACACGGCCCAAACUCCUACGGGAGGCAGCAGUGGGGAAUAUAGCACAAUGGGGGAAACGCUGAUGCAGCGACGCCGCGUGAGUGAAGAAGUAUUUCGGUAUGUAAAGCUCUAGCAGCAGGGAAGAAAAUGACGGUACCUGAGUAAGAAGCCCCGGCUAACUACGUG